This is a long non-coding RNA of Aricia agestis (brown argus), 397 nucleotides long. RefSeq lists it as uncharacterized. The transcript is spliced from 2 exons. NCBI's taxonomy places the organism in Eukaryota, Metazoa, Arthropoda, Insecta, Lepidoptera, Lycaenidae. The record is from RefSeq and is a predicted model, not a curated record.
AAUUGAAUUUUCUGUUGUAAAAUUAAAAUGGAAUAUCUCGAGCCGCGUUAGCUCUACAAAGAGCACUAUAAAAUAAAACAGCAUUAGAAAAGCAGAUUGGAGCGAAAAAUAAAUCAGCGGCCUACGCACGCGACCUAGCCCAACGGACACACACAGAGAAAGGGACAAAAAAGUCGGUGAAAGAAAAAAAACGGCGAAGAGAACGCGAAUAAACCCGGGGGGAACGACCUGCGAAAAAUAAGACGAAAACGAUCGCCCGCGCACAUGUGCGUUCGGCCAUUUUUUUCUCCCCGUCCCGUUCUAGCGCCAAAAAUGGGCACCGAUUGUGCGCGUGCGAGCGAGACGGCGGAAAAGAAAGCGCGGAAAGAGUUGGCGGUCGUUCCUGCGAUAGUUCGGU